UCCCGUGCACCUCCGUCCAGGCUGGAGAACCUGAAAUGCCCCUGUUUUCCGGCAUGCUCUCUCUCAGGGAGGAGGAGUCAUGUGACACAGCAAAGGCCAAUGAGGCACGGGGGGCAGUUUGCACUGGCCCUUCCUCUUUCUUCCUGUCUGAUCCACAGACACAGUGUGCGUUUACCCUCUGGAGAACACGCGGUGAGUGUGUGAGGAAGACGUGGACACAGCCGCCAGUGCCAGUCUGGGCGUCGCCGAGCCCAGACCCCGUGCUUCCAGACACCUGCCUUCAGGCUCGUGGUGAAAAAGGGCUCCAGUUCGGUCUGCUGCCACUUGUAAGCAGAUUCAGUUCCUCACUGAAACCAGCUCCUUCACUCACGCCUCCCGUGCUCCAGCCAGAAGAGGCCCUGUGCGUGUUCCACUUGGUGUAAACAGGUGCUCAGAGGUCCCCAGAUGGGCCGUCAGGUCAACCAAGAGCGAAGCUACAAAUCCCACUUGGGACUCAGCCACCACAUCCUUCAAGCUCUUCCAGAGCCAAUAAAUUACUUGCAGAAGGGCCGGUGUUGUGGUGCGGCUACGCUGGCAUUCCACGUGGGCACUGGUUCAUAUCCUGGCUGCUCCAUGUACAAUACAGCCCCCUGCUAACGCACCUGGGACAGCAGAGAAAGCAGCAUGCCUGGAGUCCUGCACCCACAUGGGAGACCCAGAAGAUGCUCCAGGCUCCUGACUGUCUGGGCAGCCCUGGCUGUUGUGGCCAUUUGGGGAGUAGACCAGUGGAUGAAAGAUGGAUCUCUCUCUCUCUCAUAUAUAUAUAUAUUUUUUUCUCUCUAAUAUUUUGAAAAAAAAAAGUCUGCAGAAACAGCAAGUGUAAUACUGACAUGUGACCAGUGAGUCCCCUCCCCUCAUUCAAGCCAUCCCCUCAUUCAACCCAGUUUCUUCCCCACCUCCCUGUAGUUUGGAAACAGAGUGCAUCCCUGUGGGACUCAUGCUGCCCCUCCCACUAGCCUCUGCCUCUGUUGCAUCAUUAACAACUGAGCCCACCUGCCCAGUCUCUCCCAUCACAGUCGAUGGUCUCCACAGACCCCAUUUCCUCAAGUUACAAGUCAAAUAUUACAUUCUUGCCACAAAUAAAAUGCAAACGUCACUUACUCCAAGGUUCAGUGCAGCCUGAAGGUGACACUGUCUCACACUGGGGACCAAGACACACAUUAGGGGCAACCAACACCGUCCUCUGGGGCCACAUCUGGGGCGGUGUCCUGGGCUGGAUCUGACAUGACUCCUGAAGGGGCCCGGGAAGUUGCUGUCCCACCCUGCUGCUUCUCGGGCUGAGGGAGGCUGCCCCCAGACCACCCCGGCUGCCGUUUGAGCUCCAUCAUCCCAUCUUGCUCUCGGGAGGUGCCGUGAGCUUCUCGUGGUUCUGAGUCUUGGUUGGCCAUAGCAACAGAGGGAUGUGGGAGGUCCAUGCAGUUUAAAAUCAGUUCUCAAUUGCUCAGCCACUCUUUGCCAAAAGUUGCUGAUCUUUCUCCCAUAAGGAUUACCCAAGUGCUUCUCAUUAUCCAAGCCAGCUUCUAUCACCCCUCAGGGACUCCUUGCUGUAGUCGCUCCUCCCGGCACAACACAGGAAGGCGUCAGUGCCGGAGACAGAUUCCUAGAAUUGAAUAUAUGAACCCUAGCUCCCCUCCCUUCUACCCCGCCUCCACCGCGCCCUCUAGUGGCCAACCGCUAACUCGGACACCAGGUGGCCCUAGGGCUCAGUGCGUCCUCUAACAAUGCCUUUUCUCUGUCAUGCCUGAAGCCUUCCAGUGCAAGUACCAACACUGUUUUGCUCUGGGUCCUUGCGUGGAACUUAGUGCAACUUUCUUACGUGUCUGAUAGCAAUCAGCUUGUCUAAGCAAUUUCAAAAGCAGCCUUGAUCACAACUCUCAUGGUAGCAGGCCAGUUGCAGGGGAGCUGGUCCCAGCCAGAGCAGGGCAACCACUUGAACUAGGCAAGUGCACUUGCCAUUGACUUUCUCACUCCUUGAUAAAUGUCUCCUGUUUUGUAAGACAAUGUUAGGUGUUCACGAGGGCUGGAUGAAAUGAUAAUAUAAUUUACCUCCCCGCGAGUUUGUGCAGGCAUCCUGCAUUUCACCAGUGCUCAGGGCCCUGUUUCCUUCUCUGUGGGACUGACACCCAUUCUUGUAUGUUACAGUGAUUUUGAUACCAGAGUGGGUUCUGCCAGUUCUCUCGGGCACUUCUGUGCCAUUCAAGUGCUCUUUUCUGAUUUACUAACACUUGUAUAAAUUAUAAUUCCAACAAUAUAGCAAUUCCAGGCAGUUUCUCUAUUGCUCAGGCCUAUGUUUAUUAUUUUUAUCUAAAAAUCUGAAGACUUUGCCUUUGAAAAAAAAAAAAAAACACUCACUACCCAACCCGAAUGCAAAGUGCACAAAGCUGAGCCUGCUUGCAGGUCACCGUCUAAGGAACACUCAAGAAUGGAUGCAUUUGCUACGUAAGCUGACCCAUUCUCCAGGAACCCUGUUCCUCCCCUGACCACGCAGCCUGACCUUGCCUAGCCGCCCCUGUACCUAGGAGUGCUCAUGCGACUGACCAACUAAAUGCCAUCUGCCGGGUGUGGUGUAGGGCUGGGCCUAGACAGCGAACACCCGCCACGCCCACCUCCGCCCCCUUUCUCCCUCUGCCUUCCUCUUGACAAACUCUGCAGCAGAGAAAGGAUGUGCAGAGGAUGGGAAGGAGCCCAGUUCCCUGAAUCACCCCUUGUGGGAGAGCUGCCCACCAAUUUAGAACAAAUAUUUUGGACUCGAUGUGAAUAAGAAGUCAACUUCGAUUGUGUUUGUGCCAUAAUGCAUUUGCUGAUUUUCGCUGUUGGCAUUAUCUUAAUUAACUGCACGGUGGCAAGGGUUUUCCCAUCACGCAGGACAGCGUCUUGAAGUUCUGCUUCUGAUGUCUUUUCCCCGACUUCUCCCCAACCACCAGAUCCCUAGGCCCUUCUGAAAAUCUGCGGUUCGCCCUCAGAAACCUGCAUGCGCCUUUCCUGUGAGAUGCAAUUUAGCUCUCAUUCUGGCCGGGGUUCCAGAGGUGCCGUCUUACCCUGGAAUUUGGGCAAGGUUAAAUGCCUUCCUGCCAACACCUAAGUUUUGCUCUAAUUAAGUCGCAUAUGUUCUCUAGCUAUUUUAUUUAGAGCCAACAAAUUAAACUUUAUUCCAGACUGAACUGGACAGAUUAUUUUUGAAAUUCCAAAAUAAUCUAACAUAAAAAAAUCAUUACAAUAACGUGGGGCUAUUGCACGGUGAUUACUAAGAAAGCAUUAUUCAUUGUAUUAAUUCGGAUAAGAGAGAUUCUACUACAGGAAACAAGCAAGAGCUCGAUGAUAAAAAUGCAACUAAAAAUGCAACCAUCCUCUCUCAAACACGCAAGUCUGCUUUAAAGCCGGGAGAUGCCAGGGCAGCUAUGCACCACGGGGUAGCCCAGGGACCCAGGCAGCCUUGAUCUUGGCACACUGUCCUUUCAAUAUGGUCGUCCACAGCAGAGGAACAGCGCGCUAGAGCCUCUCACACUGGUAGUUCAAUGCUCUGGCCGAGUAUUUGGUGCAGCACCUAAGACACUGCCAGGGAUGCCUGCAUCCCAUAUCAGAGUGCCUGGUUCAAGUCUUGGCUCUGCUUCCACCCAGUUUCCCACUAGCAUGCACCAUGGGAAGACAGCAGAUGAUGGCUCAAGUACGUGGGUUCCUGCUACCACCAUGGGGGAGAUCUGUAUUGAUUCUGGGCUCCUGGCUUUGGCCUGGCCCAGCCCUGGCUGUUGAAGGUAUUUGGAGAAUGAACCAGUAGAUAUAAGAUACCUCUCUGUGUCUGUCUCUGUCUUUCAAAUAAAAUGAAAAUGAACACAUUUUUUAAAAAUAGGUUUAAAUGCUCUGUCCCAUACAUGACACGCCACUUCUAGCCGCAGCCCAUGGCCUGCAAGAAGCCACGUGGCCCCUCCAAACUUGGAGGGGAAUGGCAACACAAUGCUCCCACGUACCCGGAGGGACAGGAUACGCCAAGCCACCAGCACUAGGAGAUCCCCUUUGAACUUCUGGUGGGUCCACAUUUUUCUCAGCAAUGAUCCUGCAAGCUAGAAUGACUGUGGUGCCAGGAGACUGGUUUGCCUUAUCACAAGCCAGAGCAGAGGAAUUAAGGACCUCAGGAGAGGAUUCCUCCCUCUCCCAGGAGGCACUGCUCAGUGGGGCCGACCUGGAGCGUCACGCUCCCCAGCGCUCCUCCUCCCAAGUCACACAGCUCCCUACCGUGAUAAAAAUAUCCGAGCCUCCAUCAUUUUAGCAAGAUUUAAUUAAAAUUGCCCUAAAUGAAGAAGCUGUAGUCAUUGUUUGCAUUCCUAGAUGCCUAUGUUUAGUUGAGUCGCACGUAAGCAGAGAAAUGAAAAAUUAGCUUAAUUUUUUGGCUGCAGGGAAGAGUGUGAAUUGGUUUUCUGUCACUCUUGGGGAACAUCUUGUGUCUUCCCUCAGCUGGGUUUCUCUGUCGGGAUUGCUUCUUCCCACCCUCCUCAAGGCCCCUGAGGACAAGCUGUAGCUUGCUGUGACCUGGGAAAACCUCUAGGGCCCAGAGCCAGCCGGGCUUGGGCCCAGGGCCGGGGGCCUCCUCUGGGAACAGCCGGCCCCGCCCCAGCUGCUGACAGCCGCUCCAGAGCGGGGCUUCUCCUCCGAUGCACAUUUGUUGCCCACAGAGCAGAUCUGCGAGCUGG
This is a long non-coding RNA of Oryctolagus cuniculus (rabbit), 4724 nucleotides long. RefSeq lists it as uncharacterized. The record is from RefSeq and is a predicted model, not a curated record. NCBI's taxonomy places the organism in Eukaryota, Metazoa, Chordata, Mammalia, Lagomorpha, Leporidae.